Molecule: long non-coding RNA, 1272 nt
Organism: Zalophus californianus (California sea lion)
Lineage: Eukaryota; Metazoa; Chordata; Mammalia; Carnivora; Otariidae
Exons: 4
Source: RefSeq, a predicted model, not a curated record
AUUGCCUCACCGGAAGACUAUGAAAGAAAGUUUAGAAUGCUCCUCUAGAAGGCCCUCCAGUUCUCUUCUGCCUGGGUCACAAGAGAUGGUGUGUGGCAGGCAGAGCAGCUGUGCCUGCUGAGAAACCGUCACUGGAAACCUAGCUCCACCACUUACUGAUUGUGUGACCUUGGGGAAAUCACUUUACCUCCCUGAGCCUUGGCAGUCUUCAUCUCUAAAAUGGGGAUAAUAAACUUACCUUGUACAACCGUUGGAAGGCUUAGGGGAUAAUGGAUGCAGAACACUCAACACAGGUCUCGUACAGAACAGGGACAGAAUGAAGGGAACCUGUGAAUAAUUCCAAAGGCACUCCUGCCUGCAGGAGGGGGACUCAAGACUGACUCCGGGCACCACCCAGCUAAGGGCAUCUUACGCCAAGUCCUCAAAUGCCUAGGGUGAUGGUCAUCCCUGGUGCCCAGGACACUCUCCUGGAUGGGAGAGGGAACCCAAGGGUGGUUGUGGUCACUGGGAUGUUGAGUCCAAGGUCUGUGAUUGGAGGCUGGCGUCUGCUGAGUCAGGUCUGGGACAGCUGGCAGCAGGACCAUUUCUCUCCCCAGCACCCUGCCGCUGCCGCCUGGGGGAGGUUGGGAGAGGAGCCAGAGGUCAUUUCCUCUGACUCAGCAGCCGCUCUCCUCCCAGAGGAACUCCCCUGGAGGACAGAGCAUCUCCAUGUGGCACUGGCCUGCCUGCCAGCCAACCUGCAUGCCACCCAGCACAGUCUGGGCUUUGUGCUCAGACAAGAAAGGGACACUUGUGAUCCAGACAAUGGGCCAGGGCGCUCCCAUUUGGCCUGAGCUUCAGCUUCCCUGGCUCAGCAAUGUCCUUUCCUCUGCUGCUGCCCACUCUGCUCCCACCACUCCCCGGAGAAUGGUGGCUCGGAACGCGGAGCAGAAACCCACAACAGGCCCUAGCCGCGGUUUGGCACAUGCCCUGGCCAUGAGGAGGAGGGAUGUGAGCUUCUUUCUUCUCCCCUGGUGGAAUGCUAUGGAAUGCUCCCCCAACCCCUCUGUCCCCAGGCUGCUCCAAGCCCACAACUGGUUGCCAGACCACCCUGGCCUGGGAGGGGACCCUUCCAGCUAAACCUGCCUCCCCAGUACAGCAGAGUGAGGGAAGCGGAAAGACCCCUGGAACAACAGGAGCAAGAAAGAGGCAGACAGGGCGGCUGGCCAGGUUUGUGCUCGACUGUAUUCACUCAGAGACACGUGGCAGCUUACAUUGGACAAAAUGAGUAAU